Molecule: ribosomal RNA, 253 nt
Filed under: uncultured bacterium
Lineage: Bacteria
Description: partial 16S ribosomal RNA
Rfam family: Bacterial small subunit ribosomal RNA
Source: RNAcentral
UACGUAGGUGGCAAGCGUUGUCCGGAAUUAUUGGGCGUAAAGAGCUCGUAGGCGGUCUGUCACGUCGGCUGUGAAAACCCGAGGCUCAACCUCGGGCCUGCAGUCGAUACGGGCAAACUAGAGUACUGCAGGGGAGACUGGAAUUCCUGGUGUAGCGGUGAAAUGCGCAGAUAUCAGGAGGAACACCGGUGGCGAAGGCGGGUCUCUGGGCAGUAACUGACGCUGAGGAGCGAAAGCGUGGGGAGCGAACAGG